Molecule: ribosomal RNA, 439 nt
Filed under: uncultured bacterium
Lineage: Bacteria
Description: partial 16S ribosomal RNA
Rfam family: Bacterial small subunit ribosomal RNA
Source: RNAcentral
CCUACGGGAGGCUGUAGUGGGGAAUAUUGCACAAUGGGCGAAAGCCUGAUGCAGCAACGCCGCGUGAGCGAUGAAGGCCUUCGGGUCGUAAAGCUCUGUCCUCAAGGAAGAUAAUGACGGUACUUGAGGAGGAAGCACCGGCUAACUACGUGCCAGCAGCCGCGGUAAUACGUAGGGGGCUAGCGUUAUCCGGAAUUACUGGGCGUAAAGUGUGUGUAGGUGGUUACUUAAGGCAGAGGUAAAAGGCUACGGCUAAACCGUAGUAAGCCAUUGAAACUGGUGAACUUGAGUGCAGGAGAGGAGAGUGGAAUUUCUAGUGUAGCGGUGAAAUGCGUAGAUAUUAGGAGGAACACCAGUAGCGAAGGCGGCUCUCUGGACUGUAACUGACACUGAGGCACGAAAGCGUGGGGAGCAAACAGGAUUAGAUACCCUAGUAGUC